GCUUGCUUUAGCAGAACAUAUGUUAAAACUGGAAUAGUAGAGAAAAGGUUAGCAUGGCCCCUGUGCAAGAAUGAGACACAAAUUCAUGACGCAAUCCUUAUUUUU
Molecule: non-coding RNA, 105 nt
Organism: Dipodomys ordii (Ord's kangaroo rat)
Lineage: Eukaryota; Metazoa; Chordata; Mammalia; Rodentia; Heteromyidae
Source: Rfam